Molecule: transfer RNA, 69 nt
Filed under: Marmota monax (woodchuck)
Lineage: Eukaryota; Metazoa; Chordata; Mammalia; Rodentia; Sciuridae
Description: tRNA.Undet
Source: RNAcentral
GGUUAUAGCUCAGUUGGUAGAGUGCUUGCCUUUGCAUGCACAAGGUUAUGGGUUCAAUCCCCAGCACCA